CGAAGCUUCAUUGUGAGAGUUUCGUCGAGGAUGGGGCGAAGCUCCCAUGGGCGUUUUUCAGGGUCACAAAUUGCUUCCACACAAACCAAGCUAUCCGACUCCACGAUGAUCCGAUCCGUCUCAAGACCUCGCUGGAGAAGAAAUUUCAACGCAGAGUUUAAGGCGAUCGCCUCGGCUUGCAGGGCUGAGGAGGCACGAAUCGAGGAGGCAAAUCCAUCAAUCAAAUGGCCCGUCGAGUCCCGACACACUCCAGCUACCGAAGCUUCGUCAAUCGGUGAAAGGGCAUGGCUGCAAGGAAGAGCACGGCUUCGAGGAGAUAAAAAUAUGUCUGGAAUGAGUCUCCAUGAUCGCCAUCAACACAACUCGUUCAGCAUUCAACUGCUUAUGACGAAAUAGAGCAUCAUUGCGGGCUUUCCAAAUCUGCCAGAGAACAAUCGCAACUGCACCCAAGUCCGAAUAUCCCAAUGGGCGCGAUAAAACUGACCAUUCAAGCCGUCUGGACCGGGAGCUUUCGUUUCACCUAACUGGAAUACUGCAUCAUGGACCUCCUCACAGGUCUGAAAUCUCAUCAGAAGUUGGGUGAAAAUGAGGCCGAUUAGUAAGAGAUUGAAGCUGGUUCUUAAGAUGAGAAAUCUGGGUUUGAGCAUUCCCAAAUUUGGAGCGACUCCAUUGAGAUAAAGCAAUAGAAACAGAAAGUAGCUUUUGAGGAAGCGUCACUUUGCCAAGCUAAGAAGAAUUCCAAGAUUCAGCAAUUAUGGAGCGACAGUCAGUAUCUUGGAGCCAAAAAGCUUCAAAGUAGAAAGACUUUCGCCGUUUGCAGCUGGAAAGUGUUUCAGUGGAUAAGAGCAGAGGACUGUGGUCAGAGCCGAGGGCAGGAAGGGCA
Molecule: long non-coding RNA, 883 nt
Organism: Eucalyptus grandis
Lineage: Eukaryota; Viridiplantae; Streptophyta; Magnoliopsida; Myrtales; Myrtaceae
Exons: 4
Source: RefSeq, a predicted model, not a curated record